Long non-coding RNA from Pelmatolapia mariae (spotted tilapia), 1787 nucleotides. RefSeq lists it as uncharacterized. The transcript has 3 exons. The record is from RefSeq and is a predicted model, not a curated record. Lineage: Eukaryota; Metazoa; Chordata; Actinopteri; Cichliformes; Cichlidae.
ACCACGAGAACAGCGGCGACUAAUCCCGUUGUUGUUUUUGGUAUUUGACCUCAGAUCUUUUCUGGAUUGCAGGUUUUCUCUUAUUUACGUUACAUUUUGGUGAAGCUGUGAAAGGGCGUGGCAUGUUCCCAAACUGAACCUCACAUAGCUUGAGGAUAAACAGUUUAUCAUCUUGAACAGGAGCCAAGGGGCUCACGAGUGGAUGUAAAGGAAUCGUCAUUUUGUCAUUACACCGAGCUUGGAAUUUAUGACAUCUGGGAAUUAGACCUUCAAGGCGGCCUUCCUGGGUUUAUUUUAAUUCUUGAGCAAAGUGCCCCCAGUUGACAGGGAUCCUCAGAAGGAUGAUUGAAGGAACCAUGUGAGAGGAGAGCCUGAUAAGGAAAUGAAGGUGGAAUGAUGGGUUGUGGUCCAGGAGAAGGAACCCAAUCUUUAACAUUGGGUGCACUGAAACUGGAUCUGUGGGACCUGUGCAGCUGUCUCUUGGAAAUAGCUGUGAUGUCGGACGCCUUCAUGGUGGUCUCACGCUAGUGAGGCCAAUGGGCAACUAAUCCAAAAUCUAAUCGCUGGGAAAUUAAAUCAUGCAUAAAUCCAGGUUGCAAAGUCCACUGUCAUCAUGUCUGACACAGAGGAAGUUGGGGUCGAGGGUAAGUAGCACCACCACUCCUGAUUAUAUAUCUAAAAAAAUGAUCCACCCCUAAAAUUAGGUCCAGGUACAGUCGGGAGUUCCAUGCUAAAGGCCCAGGAUUACUUCUGAAUCUUGUCUAACUGACUUUCCAUCCCCUGUAGAGAGUUAUUUGAACUGGACAAAUUGCAGGUUUGGCUUGACUCCUCCAGAUUCAAGUUGUGCAAUAAUGCUCUCUCUCCUUCAAGCAAAUGACCACACCAGCACUGACAACAGGCCAGUGCUUUUUAUGCUUUGUGAGAUUAAAAUCUAAACUUUUAGAAACAUGAAUCGCACAAAGCGGCACAGUCCUGUUGGCAGAGAGUCCUGCAGCUCUGCAUGACAAUCUGCAAAUGUGCAGUCCUCCUGAGCUGAACACACUUUGAAAACAACUUGGAAGUUUUGCUCCAAUCAGCUCAUGAGGACUGUUUUGUGUAUGCUUAGCAUGGAUCCCCAGUGUACCCACAUUUUGCUUUUGUAUUCUGUCAAAAAUGGGUACAUAUGGGAUCUUUUAAUAAUAUUCUUCUGCUCCUCUCUUUCUCGGACGGACGUGAAGAAUACGAUGGUAAGACACAACCUCCAGACUCCGGAUGAUAAGUCUCACGUCACUGAUACUAAUUUGUUAGUCGUCCCUGAACAGGUUUUUGUGGCAUGCUAGUUAACUCUAACAUAACCUGAGAUAAGUGAAGACACAGGUUGUAAACAAAGUUGGUUGGCGUCAGGUUAGAAUCUCUCUUUUGUCUUUGACCGCAUCCAAUUGCAGUGCAGGUAUUUCCAGGAAUCGAUCACAUUUCAUCAAUGAGUGACUGACCUUUUCUUUCCUGUAACUGCUUGCUGUCUCACCUGCUUUAGCAUCAUCCAGUGACAGUUCGUUUGAACUGCCUCACCACGAACCUCCUCAUAUCUCAUAUCUCACAUCUCCUCCUUUCAUCCACUGACCGCCUCCUUCCCUCUUCCAUUUCUCCUGCUUCCAUUAACCCUCUCACUGCCCUUCCUCUCCCCUGGUGACUCGCUGCAUGUUGUGUAGCUGUAGAAGAGGAGGUAGUAGUGGAGGUAGAGGUGGCCCCUGAGGCGGCCCCUGAGCCAGAGCCAGAACCACAGCCAGAGCCAGAACCAGAACCAGAAC